This 254-nucleotide ribosomal RNA is filed under the name uncultured bacterium. RNAcentral describes it as "partial 16S ribosomal RNA". It matches the Rfam family "Bacterial small subunit ribosomal RNA", at positions 524 to 776 of the family's 1533-position model. The record is from RNAcentral.
UACGUAGGGUGCGAGCGUUGUCCGGAAUUAUUGGGCGUAAAGAGCUCGUAGGCGGUGUGUCACGUCGGCCGUGAAAACCUGCAGCUUAACUGUGGGCGUGCGGUCGAUACGGGCAUCACUGGAGUUCGGCAGGGGAGACUGGAAUUCCUGGUGUAGCGGUGAAAUGCGCAGAUAUCAGGAGGAACACCAGCGGCGAAGGCGGCGCUCUGGGCUGGAACUGACGCUGAGGAGCGAAAGCGUGGGGAGCAAACAGG